Mus musculus (house mouse) is the source of this 259-nucleotide long non-coding RNA. RefSeq annotates it as predicted gene, 53326. The transcript is spliced from 3 exons. Lineage: Eukaryota; Metazoa; Chordata; Mammalia; Rodentia; Muridae. The record is from RefSeq and is a predicted model, not a curated record.
AGGACAUCAUGGUGUAUGUGUGAAGACAAGCUGUAGGCAUCAGGGAUCUGGGAUCCAACUCCAGUUGUCGGGCUUAGAGAUUGAUGAGUGGGGAGAGAAGAAUACAUUCAGGAAACCAUUGCUAUUAUCGACACCAGGAAGAAAUCCAUUACCUCCAAUGCCGGUCUCUGUCUCUCAUUAUCAUUUAUGAUUGGGAACUCUGUCAAGCUCUGAGACACGUCAGGUGGAGAUCUGGAUUUUAUUUUGCCUAACCACCAGC